Molecule: transfer RNA, 67 nt
Filed under: Hydroporus melanarius
Lineage: Eukaryota; Metazoa; Arthropoda; Insecta; Coleoptera; Dytiscidae
Description: tRNA-His
Source: RNAcentral
AUUUAAGUAAUUUAAAAUAAAAUUUUGAUUUGUGAUAUCAAAAAUGUAAUAAAUAUUACCUUAAAUU